This 1978-nucleotide long non-coding RNA is filed under the name Pongo abelii (Sumatran orangutan). Its description in RNAcentral is "lincRNA". Lineage: Eukaryota; Metazoa; Chordata; Mammalia; Primates; Hominidae. The record is from RNAcentral.
GGGAUGAAACAAGAGGGCGGCUGAAGCCGAUCCUGAGUGGGGCCCCAGCAAUUCGGAAUGAGCCUUCUCUCUCCACCCGCUUCUGCCGACCGGGCCCCUCCUGCGCGGCCUCGCAGGCCUACCCGCGCGCGCCGUCCCUUCUCCUCCGCUUUCCCUUCUCCCCCGGUCUCGGCUCCGACAUUAGGGGCCGGCGGGGCAGACAGCCCAAGCAGCCUGCGGCUUCCGCUGCGGAGCGCUGCGCCCCGGCCCCGGCCCGGCCCCACCGCCGCCGCUGCCCAAGUCCCGACCCAUCGGGGGGCUCAGCUCGCGGCACCGCGGUAGCAGCAGGGGCAGGUGGGCCGCUGCCUAGGUUGAGGCAGCCUUCAAGGCGUGGCUGAGCUCGCCCAGGGGGAGCAGGAGUAGCCGGAGAAAGCCGCCGCUGGUCCCCCAAGCACCAGCGCCCGGGUGGAUGGGGCGAGGAGGCGGGGGCUGCGGCGGCGGCCACCUGGCCCGGACCACCGCGGCCCGGGGCCGUGAACAAAGUGGUGUACGAUGACCACGGGAGCUAGGAGGAAGAGGACGGCGACGUCGAGGAGACCCAGGAGUCUGAGGACGAGGAGGAUGAGACGGAGGAGGACGAGGAUGAUUCUGAUUAUCUGGAGGAGCUGGAAGACGACGACGACGCCAGUUACUGCACAGAAAGCAGCUUCAGGAGCCAGAGUACCUACAGCAGCACUCCAGGUACCCACCCAGCCCGGUUGCUGCAGACUCCUUCCCCACCUCCUCUGCCCUACCCCCUUGCUCACUCGUGUGCUGUGCAUCCUGCUCGGAUCUCCCCCCAACCCCGCCUCCCCCCCAAACAGAGGGGAAAUGCGACAGUACAUCAAAUGGCAAAAAACUAGAUUUACAAGAGGAAAGAGGCGCAUUGUUAAAAAUGGAGAUUGCAUUGUUGCAUUUUGCAGGCCACACUCGCUCGCUCUCUCUCUCCCCCCCCAACCCCCUCUUUUUCCUCUUCAGAGUUUGUGCCAGUGCAGUGUCUCCACCGGGCAGGAUUGAAACUUUGGCAAACACAUAUCCAUUGCAUUCAUUUUUCUCCCCUUGUUUUGGUCUGGUUUUCUGGAAUGAAAGAAGUCUCUUGUUUUACAAACCUCUUUGCAUUUCUAAUGUGGUUUCUUUCAGAUUUUUAUUAGAUAUGUUACUUAAAAGGGAAUUAAGGGUUUGGACAGAUAGUGGCACACAAACACACACAAAAACAUGUCUGUUUUCACAUCCCUAGCUGUAGCUUUAAAAUUGUGUUAAGGAAACGGAUCAUUUGGGUUAGUAGGGGAAUUUUAUCUGGUCCUGUAUGUUUGUUUUUAUUCUUCAAGUGCUAAUGGGCCUGUGCAACAGUUGCUGGUAAAUGGCUGAUUAAAAAGCAAAGCAGAAAGCCAAACAAGACCCAACCAAAUUUGGUUAUUCAUCCGAUUCAAAAUUGUUUUUGGUUAAGUAAAAAAUAAAAGUACAAAACCGCAGGAACGCGCGUCUUAGCUCAUUUGAUCGCUUUGCCUUGCUUGGGAAAUGCAGUUUUGUGUCACCUGUUGCAGAAGAUAUGUAGUUGAUCAUCUAGACAUAAUUGCCGAAGAUGAACUUUUGGAACAACUUCUAAGUCACACAGCAUCAUUAUCAGAUUUAUUACACAACGACUUUUUUUUUCCACUCUAUUUCUAAGGAAAAAGCCUUCCCAAAAUCCGUAAUGAAUUUCUCCAUGGUAACCCCUCUUCUGUUUUCACACAGAAAAGUUUCUCUAGGCUGUUGCUAAGAUGCAUUUUGUUAAAUACCCCCCACCCCCCCACAAAGGCUGCUUUGUAUUAAAUACGUAGUUGGAAUUUACUAAAUUGUGAAAUUAACAUAACUGAAGCAACAACCGGCAAGACUUUUCCUUUAUAAUUUUGCAAAUCUAGAUUAAUUAAAUUAGAAUCUGGUUUUAGAAGCAUUAAAAAAUAAAGUUUAUGAGAAAAUA